UUUCCAUGCAAUUUUCUAUAUCAUCAUAAAUCAUGUGUACACUAUAAAGUAAUCAUGAUGGAUGUCAUUCAGCCAAAAUCAUGCAACACUUGAUACAUAUGCUUGAUCCUAAUUUUUGCGAAGCAUAAUUAGUAAUAUACAAUUUCAUAUUCAAAUAGUUUCAUAUAUUUGAAAACAAUAAGAUUAUGUCAGGGUCACUUACCUCAAUUCGGUUACAAAAUCCUAGUUUUAGAUGACAAUUCUCCAACACCUAGCAAUAUCAUAAACAAUCAAAUUAUUGAUAUUUGCUCCUUCCAUUUCUUAUUUAUUUAUUUAACCUUUAUUCUACCUCUUCUACUACUUUUCUACUUUUAAUUAUUAUAUUUUAUUUCUAUAUAUUCACACACUACUCUUAAUUAAAAUCCUUUACAGCCCACCUAAAGGACUCAAUUUCUGGUUCAAGCCCAUGGCCUGAUUCAGUCACUGGGCUCAUUUUAUUCAGGCCCAUGGCCUGAUUCAGUUACUGGGCUCAUUUUUUUAUUCAUGCCCAUGGCCUAAUUCAGUUACUGGGCUCAUUUUUAUUCAGGCCCAUGGCCUGAUUUAAUUUUGGUUC
RNAcentral lists this long non-coding RNA (592 nucleotides) under Phoenix dactylifera (date palm). RNAcentral describes it as "long non-coding RNA (PDAC_LNC004479)". Lineage: Eukaryota; Viridiplantae; Streptophyta; Magnoliopsida; Arecales; Arecaceae. The record is from RNAcentral.